UCACUGCCCUGCCCAGAAAGGGACCAGGCACUGAGACUCUGUGUUCCUGGGUCCUUUCUGAGUAGAGUACGGAU
Otolemur garnettii (small-eared galago) is the source of this 74-nucleotide non-coding RNA. The record is from Rfam. Lineage: Eukaryota; Metazoa; Chordata; Mammalia; Primates; Galagidae.